RNAcentral lists this long non-coding RNA (295 nucleotides) under Hordeum vulgare. RNAcentral describes it as "long non-coding RNA (HVUL_LNC018729)". The record is from RNAcentral. Lineage: Eukaryota; Viridiplantae; Streptophyta; Magnoliopsida; Poales; Poaceae.
CCUCUGGUUUCCUUUUUAUUAUCCUUUUGAAUUUAUUUAAUAACAGCGCCUCAUUUUCAAAUAAUAGGGUUUUGUUUGAACUCUUUCAAAAUUGCCCAAUUUAUUUUUAUAAAUUGUAGCAUGAUUUUAGAAGGCCUCCAAUAUAUUUAUUUUAUUUUUUAGCCUUUUCCUUUUAGCCCUAUGGGUUAUUUUUUUUAACUGCUUGUAUGUUUUUUUUGCCAAGCCCGUUCAACUGAGAGAGAGAGGAGACCAGCCUUUUAGGCCCAGCAGCUUUGGUCUAGCCCGGUAGCGCGAU